Molecule: ribosomal RNA, 253 nt
Filed under: uncultured bacterium
Lineage: Bacteria
Description: partial 16S ribosomal RNA
Rfam family: Bacterial small subunit ribosomal RNA
Source: RNAcentral
UACGUAGGGGGCAAGCGUUGUCCGGAUUCAUUGGGCGUAAAGCGCGUGUAGGCGGCCAGGUAGGUCCGGUGUGAAAACUCGAGGCUCAACCUCGAGGGGUCAUCGGAAACCAUCUGGCUAGAGUCCGGAAGAGGAGAGUGGAAUUCCCGGUGUAGCAGUGAAAUGCGCAGAUAUCGGGAAGAACACCUAUGGCGAAGGCAGCUCUCUGGGACGGUACUGACGCUGAGACGCGAAAGCGUGGGGAGCGAACAGG